This 7045-nucleotide long non-coding RNA is filed under the name Sus scrofa (pig). RNAcentral's name for it is "lncRNA (ENSSSCG00015030913.1)". Lineage: Eukaryota; Metazoa; Chordata; Mammalia; Artiodactyla; Suidae. The record is from RNAcentral.
CAUAGUUUGGUGAGCAGAGUACAAGAUUGAUUUCAGCCUUACUCACCUUCCUGGCCAGUGUCCCUUUUAGAGAGUACUGCCCAAACAACCAUAUGCAGGGGCCAAUAAAUAUUAGAUGGUAAAUACAGUGACAGAAUAGUAUUCUAAAAAAGGUGGACUGAAGAUAGGUGUAUAGGUUUUGCUUUCCUUCAUUUGGAAAUUUGAACAGUAUGCAGAAUAAAUGAGACAUAUGGUUUCUAUAACGGAGAACCAAUUAUAAUUAAGUCAUAUUUCUUUUUUUUUUUUUUUUUUGUCUUUUGUCUAGGGCCGCUCCUGAGGCAUAUGGAGGUUCCCAGGCCAGGGGUUGAAUUGGAGCAGUAGCCACUGGCCUACUCCAACACUGGAUCCAAGCUGUGUCUGGAACCUACACUACAGGUCCCAGCAACACCAGAUCCUUCAUCCCCUGAGCAAAGCCAGGGAUAGAACCCGCAACCUCAUGAUUCCUAGUUGGAUUCCUUUCCACUGCACCACGACAGGAACUCCUAUUUGAAAGCUUUUGAACAUGACCAGAUCUAUAAUUUUUAAUAAAUGAUCGGUCUCAUAUAUGUAAAAAUGGAUCAUUUGAGUCAGGAAAAAUAAGUAUGGUAUUUAGAAGAAUAUUCUUGUGUGGGAUCUUAGAGGAACAUGAGAUAAAAGCGAAGAUAAUGAAGAUGAAGGCUUGGCAUGACACAGGAACUGUUCAGAUGAAAGAAAAAAAUGGAGAAGAAAGAGUUAAGGAGGACUCUGAAACUUUGUACCUGAGUAAACAGAAAAAUGAUUUUGUGUUGAAUAUGUUGGGUAAAUCUAAAAGAUACCUUCUUUGAAUUCAGGGAAUUUAUAAUUUUUAUAAUUUGUUUUUCUUAAGAACAAGGGCAAAAUAUCUAUAAUGUAAAGCAAGUUUUUCUUUAUAUUUACAGUGGAUUUGUAGCUCCUUUGCAACUUUUUAAGUUAAUUUUAAUUCCAGUUUAUUUAUUAAGCUUCAAGACAUUUUAUGUGGUCAUAUAUUUAUUACAUAUUCCCAUUCUAUUUUAAGAUAAUUUAAUUAGAUUUGAUUUCUGGCUGUAAGUGAACUCAUGCAUUAAAUCAAGAAUAAGUAAAGACAUAAUACUGAGUUAAAACCCUAUAAUGUUGAUAUUUGAAUACCUGUCUUUUUCAGAUAUCUUGUAUAUAUAUUUUCCUUUUAACCCUGCCCUGGAAAUUAUGAUAUACUUUUUAACUUUUUAUUUUGAGAUAAUAUUAGACCUACAGAAAUGUUACAAAAUAGUACAUAGAGUUUCCAUAUAUUCUUUUUUAUGUGACUUUAAUGAUUUUUAUUUUUUCCAUUAUAGUUGGUUUACAGUGCUCUGUCAAUUUUCUACUGUACAGCAAAGUGACUCAUUCACACAUACAUACUCAGACACAUACACACACACACAUAUAUACAUUCUUUUUCUGAUAUUAUCCUCCAUCAUGUUCCAUCACAAGUGACUAGAUAUAGUUCCCAGUGCUACAGGAUCUCAUUGCUUAUCCAAGUUUCCAUAUAUUCUUGACUCUGCUUCCCCCAACAUUAACCUUCUGUAACCAUAGUCCUAUUAUCAAAACCAAGAAACUAACAUUGAUCGCUGACUGAUUUUAAUACUAUUAGUCUCUCAAUAAUUUUUAUAAAAAAUUAAAAUGUAUAUAGAAAGAGUAUUAUAGCUUAUUAUUUAUAUGUUCUGAAUUCUCUUUUAAGCUUUUAAUCCAUGGGCAGUAAUGUGAUGGGCUACAUACAAUGUUAGCCAAAGCUAUGAAUACAACCUACUGUAAAUGAUGCUAGCAGUCUAUUAUGGCAUCUUUUAUGCUAUUUAUUUAGGGUUCCAACAAACAACUUUGACCAUUUUACCUGAUAUAAGUGUUUGCAAAUAAUAGAAGUUUGCAAAAAACAAAAAAUGAAAAGUUUGAAAAAAGGGAAAAUGAUAGUAUUGCUGGCUGUAAAAUGUUAAGUUUAGUAGUGGCUGGGAACACCAUCAAGAAGAUGGUUAAGACAGGGAAACAGAUCAGAGGGCAAUUAAGGACCGAUGGAAAUUAUCUGACAUUAUUAAGGGCAUUAUUCAUAUCCCUGGAGCCUAGGAGGAGUGGCCAACAAUCUGCAAGGAAAAGGAAAUGAGAUUUAUGCUUGGUGAGGAUUUUUAUAUCCCUCUAAUAGAAUUUUCUGAGGGGCUGAAUUUUUGGCUUGGAAUCAAGCUAUUCCAGUGGGACCUCCAGCCUUGUUUCACCACCCACCCUUGUUAAAUACCCUCAUCCAUCCAAUUGCUCAAGCCAAAGAUCCAGAAGUCAUUCUUGACCCUCUUUCUAUAAUUUCCCAAGUCUGAUUCAUCGACAAGUACUACUACUUUUACCUCAUAGACAUAGUCUUAAAUCAUCUUAUUCAGUUCAUCUCCAUUGCUGCCACCCCAGAAUGUGGCUUUCUCCUCUCAUACCAGAGCAAUUGCACUAGCACCCCAACUGUUUUCUUGAAAUUUAUUCUUAUCCCUCUCUAACCUUUUCCCCAUAAAUAAGCUGGGUUUAUAUUUUUUAAAUCAUAAAUUCCGUCAUGUCAGUAAUGGAAUAUUACUCAAUGCUAAAACUAAGUGAGCUAUCAAGUCAUGAAAAGACUUGAAUGUAUAUUAUUAAGUAAAAGAAGCCAAUCUGAAAAAGGGUUACAUACUAUAUGAUUUCAACUUUAUGGCAUUCUGGAGAAGAUUAAACUAUGGAAACAAUAAAAAGAUCGGUAGUUGCCAGGGGCUAGUGAUGACUAGGCAGAGCACAGAGAAUUUUAGAGUGGUGGAGCUAUUCUAUAUUUUAAUACUAUGGUAUGUGUGAAGACAUGUAUUCACUAUCAUAGUAUCAUACAUGCACCAUAUAUGUAUCAUAUAAUAUAUGGUAUGAAACAAUAAUGGUUGAUAGAUGUUAUUAUACAUUUGCCGAAACCCAGAGAUUGCUCAAUGCAAAGAAUGAAUCCUAAUGCACUUGGGUGAUAAUAAUGUGUCGGUGUAAGCCCAUCAUUUGUAGGAAAUGUUCCAUUCUGAUGAGAGAUAUUGAUAAUGAGGGAGGCUAUGACUGUAGGGGAAGGGAGUACUGGGAAAUCUUGGUACCCUUCACUCAGUUUUGUUGUGAACCUAUAGAUGCACUAAAACACAAAGUUUAUGUUCUUAAAUGUCCUAGAGGCAUUGCAUAACUGACUGCUGCCUAUCCAUCUAAACUCAUUUCUGCUACAGCUAAGAUUCCAUGGCCAAGGGAGAAAAAGGGAAAACCUUCUGUCCUUCUCCAUCUAGGCCUUGCAUUGCUCCUCCAGCAUCUUUCUAAGGGCAGUUUCUAAAACACAAUAUCAAAGUUGCAAUAGGCAGAAGUUAGGAUAUAAGGAAGUUCUCCUUUGACUAUUUUCUUCAGCUGGCUUCCCACUAUCUUAGGGUAGGUAGUCAGUUUAAUCUCUUAGGGUGCUUUUGGAUGCACAUUAGAGGUCCCCACUGAGAACAGUCAAAUACACUUCCUGUGCAUUGGGGAAUAGGUUUUUUUUUUAGCUGCACUACUGUCAGCUUGCAUGUUGGGGGCAUCUAUUCCACACACUCUCAUGCCCUCCACAAUCCUCCCAAGGGCUCCUUUAGACAGCUCCUCUUCAUGCUGGAGUUAUAUAGUCCCAUGGUUCAUACUCAUACAUUCUUUGUAGUAACGAACUCUGGACAUUCAAGCAAAUAUCAACCUUGUGGGGAGUGCUCCUUAAAUCUGAUGCUAAAGCAGAUAGCUCAUCCGCGUGUGUCAUUGGUCACUGUCCAGUCAGGAGUCAAAGUCAAGGUGUGCCUACAGAAACUGCUUCACUAAAAUUGACUGGAGGGGAAGAUUUGCAUUCCUCAGAGAAAUCUUCUUCAGAAAACCCUCUCACAACUCCUCGUUCCAAGCCUUAUUUAUAGUUUCGGUGUGUUCAGGGAUAUUCUUACAAGGAGGUCUGUCUCAAAACUUACUUACUGAUCUGCUGUCUCAUAGGCAGUUACCUUAGUAAAGAACUUUUAAUGUAGUGUGUUGAUAUUUACAUAAAAUUUAUAAGGUCUUAUAUAAAGUGACAGUUUUAACUCUCUCACUUUUAAUUUGCUUUAUCAGAUUGGACAUUUAAAAGGCAUUUCAGUAUAUAAAAAGAAGUCUAGAUCACUCAUAUCAAAACACUUUUAAUGGAAACCAAAAUAUUGAAUGCAUUUAUAAAAGUGCACUCUCGACAUUAAGUGAAAAAUCCUACAUGCACAUGUAUUAAGCAUUCCUCGUAGCCUUAUUUUCAUCUUUCACAUGGUUAAAUAUAAAUCUCCAGGAAGGGGUGAAUCUAGAUAUUAUUCUUUUAAGAGACGAAAGAUAUUUGUUUGGUGAUAAAUUCACUAAGGGAAGCCCCAAUUAAAAAUGUCAACUACAGCACUUCCAUGGUAAUUUUAAAGCAUGUUGCUAUUAAUCAUGUGUUUUAAUAUCUAGAAUUCACAGUGCUGUAAUGAUUUGUCUUUAAGGAGCUAAAAAAGUACAAUAAAACUUGUGAUUAAAUAUCUCAGUCAGCAGAAACACCUUGUAAUUUAGCUUAAUAGUAGUGUUUUAUUAAUUUCAAAGUUGUGGUUUUGGUUUUAGCUUACUAAUAUUGAUUCCAACAGCUUAUCCAAUCUUUAGAGCUCCUUUUUUUUGGGGGGCUGCACUCACAGCACAUGGAGGUUCCCAGGCUAGGGGUCUAAUUGGAGCAGUACCCUCUGGCCUAUGCCACAGACACAGCAACACAGGAUUCAAGCCAUGUCUGCUGACCUACACUGCAGCUCAUGGCAACACCAGAUCCUUUGCCCACCAAGCGAGGUCAGGGAUUGAACCUGUACCCUCAUGGAUACUAGUCAGAUUUGUUUCCCUUGAGCCACAACAGAACUCCCCCCUUUUGGUUUUAAAGAACAUAUUUUUAUCUUCCCAAAGGAGAGCUAAUCAGUUAACUUAAAAAAAUCUUAAAACUUAAAUGAUAUUUUAUUUGAAUAUUCUUACUCUUCACUAAAAAUAAUGUUUGUAUUUCUAAUAUAAAGAAGUAAUCUAUAAACGUAUACUAUUCAACAGUUUUUAAUAAACUCAAAAUACCUUAUUCAAUCCUUUUAAUGCAUUGUGAUGCCCUUAAACUAUUCAGUUGGAUAUUUAAACAGCUGAUACAAUUAAAUGAAACAAUCUCAUUGAUGAAUUUGUUUUACUAUGUGAAUAGUCAAACUCAUAGGAUAAAACUGUUCUUAUAGGGAACGUUACCUAUCUUUGCUUCCAAAAGCAAGUACCUCACCUGUUAGCUGAAGCAAACCAAGUUAGCAUUUGCUUUCAGGAAGAUACUUGUUCCAGUAGUUCCAGGGAACAAAAGCCAUAAACUCAUAUCCAAAGUAUGCAAUUUUCAGUUGAGAAAAUUCAGGAGACCUGAAUUAUUCCCCAAAUAAUCAUAUAGGAUUGCAUUUGAUAUUGUUAACAACUGCUGCUUCAUACAUUGGGUUAUAACCAAAGUUCCCAGAAUUUUUGGAGGUUAAAAAAAUUUCACAGAGUGUUUCAUUCCUGAGAGAUCCUAUCUAUCCUAUCCUAUCUAUCUAUAUCUAUCCUAUCUAUCCUAUCCUAUACUAUCCUAUCCUUUCUACUGCCCUGGAAAUAAGAUAAAAACUCUUCACCAUGGCCUGUAAGUCCUUGAGCAGUGAGUUUCUUGCUCUUCCAUCCCAGCUGGCCCCAGAUCCUUCCUCCCUUGAUCUCUGGCUAUACUAUUGCAGUGCUGGGCUCCACUUACUGUUUCCAGUAUGCUGAGUAUCUUUCUGCCUUGAGUUCUUCGCAUGCUAGUGGAGAAACCAAAUGCUCUUCUUCCCAUGGCUAGGUCAUUCUCAUUUUCUAAUUCCCAUUCCACACAUUGCCUCUGGAGACCUUUCCUCUUGGCCUUCCUGACUACCUUUGCUAUGUAGGAACUUUCUCCUCCUCAUUCCAUUAUUUUUCAUCAUAGUAUGUAAUCACUCUUUAAAAAUUUGUAAUUACAUGUUUAGCAUCUGGAACAUUGCUAAAUAGCCAUGCUGCAAUAUUUGUUGAAUGGAUAAAUGACCUUGAAACCUGGGAAGGCACAAAGGCAAUGAAAAAAAGUUAGUCGAAUGAAUGAAUGGAUUUAGGACUAACGGACUACUUGAUACAAAAUGUUGUCACUAUCCAUUGGACCUUAUGAGUUAUUUCAGAAAAUGUUUUUUGAGAGUAUGCCUCUAUUAAAUGGGAAUCACAUCCCAAAAGAACAGUUGCCAGUUUAUUACAAGUUUUCAGGGCAUAUCAUAUUAAUCUUUCAAAUUGUUAUAUAACUUUUUGGGGUCUGAAUCUAUGGAAGAAAUAACACUCUCUAGAAAUACUGUCAGGUGCCAACAUUUAAUCAGCUUUUUUGGCAAGUAAAAUAUAGGCUUAUAUGUCAAUGUUUUUUCCAUUUUCAAAACAACAUAUCACAGUCAAAUAUAUACAAUUGUAGUGGCUUUUAAUAGCAAGUACUAUAAUACUCCAAAUACCUCAAUUGUAUUUUUCAAAUUAGGUAGAAAUUCAAAAGUGUGAGCCAGUGCACUGGCUCCUAGCAAUAGAUUUGAACUUGAGGCUUUACUAUGAAGAAUAGUAUCAACUUAGAUAUAUAUUUUUUCCUAAAACCAUAAUGACACGUAUUUUCUUUGAUUAGAGAACUAUACAGCUUAUAUAUUGGGUUUCACCUACAGUCCAGAUCUACAAUGAAAGUAUAUGAAGUUUUUAUUGUUCACUCAAGGCAUAUUAUAUUUGCUAUAGGCCUAUGAUUUUGUGACACAUGAAAUAUUAUGUAUAAAGUUUUGGUAUUAAAAAUAUUUUAAAUUGUGACUUUUGGAAAUUUAUUAAUUCAAGCUCAUUAAUUUUAUCAAAAUGUAAUUUAUCCAAUGGAAAAGUAAUGCUAAAUUAUACUUGGUAAAUUUGGUAAAUAAGAUUGGUAAAAAAGAUUUCUUUAAGAUCUCUUCAAUAUAUAGUGCCAUUUGACAUAUGGAAAUUGAGCUUCCAUGAACAAAUUUUAAUAGAAAAA